Molecule: transfer RNA, 77 nt
Filed under: Gammaproteobacteria bacterium
Lineage: Bacteria; Pseudomonadati; Pseudomonadota; Gammaproteobacteria
Also listed under: 8 other names
Description: tRNA-Pro
Rfam family: tRNA
About the family: Transfer RNA (tRNA) molecules are approximately 80 nucleotides in length. Their secondary structure includes four short double-helical elements and three loops (D, anti-codon, and T loops).
Source: RNAcentral
CGGAGCGUAGCGCAGCUUGGUAGCGCACCACAAUGGGGUUGUGGGGGUCGGGAGUUCGAAUCUCCCCGCUCCGACCA